This 260-nucleotide ribosomal RNA is filed under the name uncultured soil bacterium. Its description in RNAcentral is "partial 16S ribosomal RNA". It matches the Rfam family "Bacterial small subunit ribosomal RNA", at positions 26 to 286 of the family's 1533-position model. The record is from RNAcentral.
AGGAUGAACGCUAGCGGCAGGCUUAAUACAUGCAAGUCGAGGGGCAGCGCAGUGUAGCAAUACAUGGGCGGCGACCGGCAAACGGGUGCGGAACACGUACAGAACCUUCCUUCGAGCGGGGAUAGGCCAGAGAAUUUGGAUUAAUACCCGUAGUAUUGCGGAGUGGCAUCACUUUGCAAUUAAAGAUUUAUCAUUAGAAGAUGGCUGUGCGGCUGAGUUAGUAGUUGGCGGGUAACGCCCACGAAGCCUGCGAUCAGUAC